Molecule: long non-coding RNA, 1258 nt
Organism: Mastomys coucha (southern multimammate mouse)
Lineage: Eukaryota; Metazoa; Chordata; Mammalia; Rodentia; Muridae
Exons: 2
Source: RefSeq, a predicted model, not a curated record
GAUGGCUCAUCAGAAAAGGGCACUUGCAGCUGAGUUCUAGUCCUGGAACCCACACGGUUGAAGGAGAAAACCAGCGUGCACAUGGACGUCUGACCUCCAUGCAUGUACACACGAUGAAUUCUUUUUUGUGUAAACGUGGCCGCCAGAAAACUUGCAGAAGUAUGGUAUAGAACAGCCAUACCAUUCACCUUAGAUCUUCCUUCGAAUCAGUGGCCCUCCUGGCUCAGUCUUCCCCUUGCUGGCUGGGAUAGCAGGUAUGAGCCCUAAUAGCUCACUAAAGGGACUCAUUUUAAAAUGGCUCCUCCUUUUCUAGUUGAGUUUCACUUCAUUUUUGAAAAAGAAAAAUUUUAAAGAAAAGUGCUGCCCGUGGGCUGCACUGGCAUUAGGGGCUAUGAAACGGGAAAUGACACGAGUGGAAAAACCCUGCUGUGACCCCUCCCUCUUGAGAAGGAGUGAAGACUUUGGAGUUUGAACCAGCUCCGGGCCCUCACUUAGGAUCAGAAGUGUCCAGCUCGGCUCCAUUCAUCAAGUGGCCCUCGGUGGCUUUGCUGAGAUUACUGAAUGUAUUUAUAACUUCAAACGCCUUGUCUGCCUCAGGAGAGGCCUCCUCCACAGAGGGGUCAGACCUACAUUUCUGGGUUCUUACUGAGACAAAUCUACCCAAGAAACGAGUCCCCACGGGGACAGACUUACCUUGUAUCGUCAGCCACAGGCUGAUGUGGCACCUUUUAGAGCUCUCUGGCAGCACGCUUUCCUUCUCAGCAAGGUCAGACUGUCCCUGCUGGCAAACUCCUCUGUGUUUUGACUUAUAAAGCCAGAUCCAGGAAGCAUCUAUAACCCAUGAACACCUUAAAGGCAAACGGGAGGCCAGCAGAUGCUAAGGAAUCAUGGUGGCCACCGCCAGCAUCUCUUUCAGAAUGCUUUGGGCAGGAAGUCCUGCCUCUUCCGAGUAAGGAUCCAGAAGGCCUGGUGACCCAGUGUGACACAAAAGAGGAUAGAAAGUGCCAGAUGCCCCAUUCUCCUUGCGAGAGUGGCGCUGUAAACCGUCGGAAAGGAUGCACAGCCAAGGCAUGUGCUUAAUAACCACUGCGCUUCCUUUCCAGGCCAGCUUUUUUAAAGGCUGCAGAAAACUUCACCCUCUUGGUAAAGAACAACAUCUGGUACCCCAAGUUUAAUUUCAGCAAGAGGAACAUCCUCCCCAAUAUCACCACCUCCUACCUCAAGUCGUGCAUUUAUGAUGCUCAGACAGAUCCCUUCU